GCAAACUUGGUCAUUUAGAGGAAGUAAAAGUCGUAACAAGGUUUCCGUAGGUGAACCUGCGGAAGGAUCAUUAACGAGCGUAAGACCGGGGCGCCCCCGUGCCUCCGGCUCUCACCAGCCCGGUGAUUAGCGUCAUAUACCCCAAUAAAUCCGGUUGCGUCGGCGGGGCUUCAGAUGAGCCCGCCGGCAGUCCGCGACAUACACCCUUUGACGUUUUCGUCGAACCAGCGGCCUGAAGGCAUGAGCAAAUCUAUCAAGGAAAGUGAAAACUUUCAACAACGGAUCUCUUGGUUCCAGCAUCGAUGAAGAACGCAGC
RNAcentral lists this unclassified non-coding RNA (316 nucleotides) under uncultured fungus. RNAcentral's name for it is "partial contains small subunit ribosomal RNA, internal transcribed spacer 1, and 5.8S ribosomal RNA". The stretch from base 1 to 73 matches the Rfam family "Eukaryotic small subunit ribosomal RNA", at positions 1759 to 1831 of the family's 1831-position model. Lineage: Eukaryota; Fungi. The record is from RNAcentral.